UAUUUUAUAAUUUACAAUUGUUAUUAAGUAACGUCCUUCCAAACCCGUUCCGCCAAACCCGUCAUGUAAAAUAAAACCGCGGUACCCCGCUAACUUAAAUUUAUAAUUAAAAUAAAUAUUUUACGGGAUUGCAAUUGUGUUUUAGUUUAUCAAACAAAAUUUUGUUUUAAAUAAUUGUCGAAAUCUAGUUCAAAUUUGGAGAAAUAAGAUUUAGUGAAUUGAUAAAAAAUGUAUUUAGUUGCGUGUUGCUCAUUUUAAGGGAUUGCAAUUGUCUUUUGGGUUGUCAAACAUUUUUUGUUUUAAAUAGUUGCCGAAAUCUAGUUCAAAGUUUGGAAAAAUCUGCGUGAUAUAUGGGAUUGGAAUAUAUUUGGAAUAUUUUUCGUUUGUUAAUAAAUUUAUUGCUGAAAAAGACCAAUAAUUAAAAGCCAGUGGCAGCCAUUGUAAAUAAGUUGCAACUCCAGGAUUUAUUUCACAAAAUGGCUGCAAAAAUGUAUAUAUAGAUAUAUAUAGAUGUUAAUGAUGGGUUAAAAUUCACUGGAUAUCCGAAACCCACCUAAACUUUUAAGCCCAUAGAUCUAUUUUUUGUAUCAGAAAAAUUACGGGCUCAAAACGAGCAGGUCUUAUUUACUUAAAGUCUUACACGGGUUUUACCCUAUCAGAUUAUGGGUACCCGUGGUUUUU
This 681-nucleotide small RNA is filed under the name Arabidopsis thaliana (thale cress). Its description in RNAcentral is "ATSL171810". The record is from RNAcentral. Lineage: Eukaryota; Viridiplantae; Streptophyta; Magnoliopsida; Brassicales; Brassicaceae.